CGGUCGUCCAGUCACAUAUAUGUCAGAACAAAAUAUACAAACAAAUAAUACCAUAUUCUCAGGUUUCUCUUGUAUAACAUAAAACAAGCAUGCCCCAUUUUUACAAAGUUGGAACCAUAUAUGAAUACUCUGCCAACCAGAGUAAAGAGAACUCAGUAAUAGUACAUGCAAUUUCAGUUCAAGAAAACAACCUAUUAUAUAAAUAAACAACAAAGCACAACUAACUUGGAGCAGCAUUAUUCUUCAACUUCCUUCUUUAUUUCUUCCAUGAGUUCAUCAGCUAUGCUUCCUGUGAAGCAAAAGUGUUCAUAAUAUUGUCAGUAAGCAAGUUAUAAGUCAAAUGAACAAAUCAUUUCCAUUGUCAUGGCAUAAUAAAGAUUGUCUUGGCAUGGGGAAUGUGCCGCCUUCAGCCUGAAUUUGGUACCCAGACAUGCGCUAGGAUCUAGAAGAAACAACUAUUCAGGAAAUGAAAUGUAUGGCUGAAACCUUUGUGGUUCAAACCUGCGUGGACGGGCAAUUUACCAUACAACAAGUCAAAUCAGAUGCAGUGUGUGCAGUACUGCAGUAACUAUUACUACUUCA
RNAcentral lists this long non-coding RNA (582 nucleotides) under Zea mays. RNAcentral describes it as "long non-coding RNA (ZMAY_LNC003861)". The record is from RNAcentral. Lineage: Eukaryota; Viridiplantae; Streptophyta; Magnoliopsida; Poales; Poaceae.